UGCGGAGGAUCAUUACCGAGUGCGGGUCCUUUGGGCCCAACCUCCCAUCCGUGUCUAUUGUACCCUGUUGCUUCGGCGGGCCCGCCGCUUGUCGGCCGCCGGGGGGGCGCCUCUGCCCCCCGGGCCCGUGCCCGCCGGAGACCCCAACACGAACACUGUCUGAAAGCGUGCAGUCUGAGUUGAUUGAAUGCAAUCAGUUAAAACUUUCAACAAUGGAUCUCUUGGUUCCGGCAUCGAUGAAGAACGCAGCGAAAUGCGAUAACUAAUGUGAAUUGCAGAAUUCAGUGAAUCAUCGAGUCUUUGAACGCACAUUGCGCCCCCUGGUAUUCCGGGGGGCAUGCCUGUCCGAGCGUCAUUGCUGCCCUCAAGCCCGGCUUGUGUGUUGGGUCGCCGUCCCCCUCUCCGGGGGGACGGGCCCGAAAGGCAGCGGCGGCACCGCGUCCGAUCCUCGAGCGUAUGGGGCUUUGUCACAUGCUCUGUAGGAUUGGCCGGCGCCUGCCGACGUUUUCCAACCAUUCUUUCCAGGUUGACCUCGGAUCAGGUAGGGAUACCCGCUGAACUUAAGCAUAUCAAUAAGCGGAGGAAAAGAAACCAACCGGGAUUGCCUCAGUAACGGCGAGUGAAGCGGCAAGAGCUCAAAUUUGAAAGCUGGCUCCUUCGGAGUCCGCAUUGUAAUUUGCAGAGGAUGCUUUGGGUGCGGCCCCCGUCUAAGUGCCCUGGAACGGGCCGUCAGAGAGGGUGAGAAUCCCGUCUUGGGCGGGGUGUCCGUGCCCGUGUAAAGCUCCUUCGACGAGUCGAGUUGUUUGGGAAUGCAGCUCUAAAUGGGUGGUAAAUUUCAUCUAAAGCUAAAUACUGGCCGGAGACCGAUAGCGCACAAGUAGAGUGAUCGAAAGAUGAAAAGCACUUUGAAAAGAGAGUUAAACAGCACGUGAAAUUGUUGAAAGGGAAGCGCUUGCGACCAGACUCGCCCGCGGGGUUCAGCCGGCAUUCGUGCCGGUGUACUUCCCCGUGGGCGGGCCAGCGUCGGUUUGGGCGGCCGGUCAAAGGCCCCUGGAAUGUAGUGCCCUCCGGGGCACCUUAUAGCCAGGGGUGCAAUGCGGCCAGCCUGACCGAGGAACGCGCUC
RNAcentral lists this ribosomal RNA (1124 nucleotides) under Eurotiomycetes sp. DC482. RNAcentral describes it as "eukaryotic LSU rRNA". The stretch from base 528 to 1124 matches the Rfam family "Eukaryotic large subunit ribosomal RNA", at positions 1 to 602 of the family's 3401-position model. The record is from RNAcentral. Lineage: Eukaryota; Fungi; Ascomycota; Eurotiomycetes.